Molecule: non-coding RNA, 797 nt
Organism: Pelobates cultripes (western spadefoot toad)
Lineage: Eukaryota; Metazoa; Chordata; Amphibia; Anura; Pelobatidae
Source: the annotation of a GenBank genome assembly
UUUGCUUAUCUUUCUUUACUGUAACUCCCAGCAGCAAAGAAACAGUUAACAGUAGUGUAAAAAAGGUUUAACCAAUCAGUAAGCAUUACAGUAGUAUAAACUGUCAUCAGGCUCCUCCCAAUUCCUCUUUCUUGAUGUAGCCGAACAGUCGUAGAGUCAACCAUGUAAAUGUAGAAGAACUUAAAAACGAUGAACAGGUAACGGUGUAGGUAUCCGGUAGGAUGAAGGUAGUGAUCAACCCGCGGGUAGAUUCGAGACAGAAGGCAAAUGAUCUUCACACUAGGAGGAAGGAGAAACAUUGUGAAAGUAUGGUCUCUUUGGCAAGAGAAAAACCAAAUUAAAUGCAGUGAACUGAAUGUCAAUUUAAGUGCAAGCUCUAACUAUGAUAAUUAACUGUGUGAUAUGUAGAGUAAGUGACAUACCUAGAAUAUAAUAACCAAUGUACCAUUGAAAAACGGGUUAGCAUAUAAUAGCGACCUAAUGAGUAUAGGCUAGAGAAAAGAGAGGAUGCUAGUCAUAGUAGAACUGGAGAUAGUACAGGAUACUUACCUAAAAGGGUGGGUAAAAAGAAAUCCAGGGUGGGAAAAUAUUCGCCUCCUGUCUUUAAUAAAAUUUAGAUUAUUCGGUCACUAGGAGUUAGAAUAAUCCCGAAUUUUAUGGCAAGACAGGAGGCUUCAUAUUUGCUAUUUUAACGCACAGAUAGCAGAGACAGAGAAACGUGUGGAGAGUGUCUGAAAUAAAAGGUACGGAAGGUGGAUUCUCUAGACCAAUCAGCGGAGGCUAGAAUUUCCGCUAAG